This is an RNA transcript of Cebus imitator (Panamanian white-faced capuchin), 994 nucleotides long. It is a transcript of the gene named protein PIMREG-like, with no coding region annotated. The transcript has 2 exons. The record is from RefSeq and is a predicted model, not a curated record. NCBI's taxonomy places the organism in Eukaryota, Metazoa, Chordata, Mammalia, Primates, Cebidae.
AUGAGCAAGUUAAAGAAAAAGCCCACAGACCUAAUGGGCACAGCAGUCAGUAGUAUCUGCCUGCUACUGGAGGGGUCUAGUGGGCAGAGAAGACUCUUGGCCAGGCAGACAACUUCUCAGUGGCACAGCAUGGGGACCUCCGUGCACUGGAGAUCUCUGCAGCACUAGGAACAGCUGGAGGACACCAGGGAGCUGCAGACUGUGGCCAUUAGGAGGCCUUCGCAGGAGUCCUGGGGUCCCUGUGCAGACAGUUCCAAAGAAGGCUGCCCCUGAGAGCCGUCAACCUCAACCUCCGCGCAGGCCCCUCCUGGAAACACCUGGAAACCCCAGAGCCAGGGCUGCAGGGCCUCCAGGCUGCAGCUCACUCAGCUAAGAGUGCUUGGGCGCCAAGUCCCAGAGAAUCCAGGAGUCCUGCGAAAGUGGUACCAAGUGGCUGGUGGAGACCCAGGUGAAGGCUAGGAGGAGGAGGAGAGGGGCACAGAAGGGCAGUGAAUCCGCAAGUCACAGUCUGAGCCAGAAGAUCACCCAGCUGUCUGGAGCUGCUCCUGCCCACUCAGCCGCAGAUACCUGGGAGAAGCAUCACCACCUCUCUGCCCGGAUAGGUUCACGUGCCCACCCAUUACGGCGGUCUAGGCGGGAGGCUGCCUUCUGGAGCCCCUACUUCUCAACAGAGCCCCUCUGCUCUCCCAGAGAGUCUGACAGUGACCUAGAGCCUGUGGGGGCGGGAAUUCAGCAUCUCCAGAAGCUGUUCCAAGAACUAGAUUAAGCCAUUAUAGCAGGAGAGUGGUGACAUCAUCUCUCUCAUUCAUGACUGAGGAAGUGCCCUGCAGGAAACAAGCCCUGUCUGACGCCAAGCCUUCAUACCCAAGGAUGUCUGUGCUUCCCCAUGCACUUCCUGGAGGAAGCCCCCAGGAGUCGUCAGUACCCCGUGCCACUGCUAACAGGGACCUGACUAACAAGGGGCCAGAGAACCCCUGCUAUGGCCACAUGUGGA